UACGGAGGGUGCGAGCGUUGUCCGGAAUCAUUGGGCGUAAAGGGCGCGUAGGUGGCCUGGCAAGCGUGCGGUGAAAGCUCGGGGCUCAACCCCGAGUCGGCCGUGCGAACUGCUGGGCUCGAGCACUGUAGAGGCAGGCGGAAUUCCGGGUGUAGCGGUGGAAUGCGUAGAGAUCCGGAAGAACACCGGUGGCGAAGGCGGUCUGCUGGGCAGUAGCUGACACUGAGGCGCGACAGCGUGGGGAGCAAACAGG
Molecule: ribosomal RNA, 253 nt
Filed under: uncultured bacterium
Lineage: Bacteria
Description: partial 16S ribosomal RNA
Rfam family: Bacterial small subunit ribosomal RNA
Source: RNAcentral